This 355-nucleotide long non-coding RNA is filed under the name Dasypus novemcinctus (nine-banded armadillo). Its description in RNAcentral is "lncRNA (ENSDNOG00000050657.1)". Lineage: Eukaryota; Metazoa; Chordata; Mammalia; Cingulata; Dasypodidae. The record is from RNAcentral.
GCAGGCCUGGAGGCCAUGGAAGUGAGUGUUGCAAUCUUGGCACACCCCGUGUCUCCACUGCCCGCCUGCUGGCCUGUGGCUUUCUGACAGAGCCGGGGGACAGAAGUGGUUACCCCAGCAGUGUCCUCUGGCCUGGGUGAGGAGCCUGGGGUCCCUGUUGCCCUCUGCUGAACAGGUGUUUCCAGGCGUGCACAAGGGCUGAUUGACUGAGGACCACGUCGGAGAGCUUUGGAUGUCCUCACGGUGAGAGGUGAAGGACUCACACAGUCUGAACUUAUCCCUCCAAAGGGGACCAGUGGGAGACAUUUGACUGGGUGGGAACAUGGGAGGAUGCCAGCAAGGAGGUCCCUGAGUU